This 272-nucleotide unclassified non-coding RNA is filed under the name Hevea brasiliensis (rubber tree). The record is from RNAcentral. Lineage: Eukaryota; Viridiplantae; Streptophyta; Magnoliopsida; Malpighiales; Euphorbiaceae.
GGAUCACUUAAUGAAUGCAGAGCACAAUUAUCUUGUACCUCGAAAGAAUCUUCACUGAGUUUCAGCGCCUCAGGUUUAAACCUAGCAGACUGCCUCCUUACGCAUGAUCUUUUAUUUGCCGUCUUAUCCUCACAUUGAACUUGCUCAGAAGAACCCAUGCUCUUUGACUGGGCUCUCUUUUUGAGAUUUCUGGCUUUCUCGGUGUCUCCUUUUCUUAAUGAUAGAUCUCCUGCCUCCUCACACUUCAUGGGUUUCACCUUAUGAAUAUUGAC